This 751-nucleotide ribosomal RNA is filed under the name uncultured bacterium. RNAcentral describes it as "bacterial SSU rRNA". It matches the Rfam family "Bacterial small subunit ribosomal RNA", at positions 28 to 774 of the family's 1533-position model. The record is from RNAcentral.
GAUGAACGCUAGCGGCAGGCUUAACACAUGCAAGUCGAGGGGCAGCGCGGGGUAGCAAUACUCUGGCGGCGACCGGCGAAAGGGUGAGUAACGCGUGAGCAACAUGCCCGAUAGAGGGGGAUAGUCAUUGGAAACGAUGCGUAAUACCCCGUAACAUUCGGAACCGCAUGAUUCUGAAUUGAAAGAUUUAUUGCUAUCGGAUUGGCUCGCGUACCAUUAGCUAGUUGGCGGGGUAACGGCCCACCUGGCCACCGAUCGGUAGGGGUUCUGAGAGGAAUGUCCCCCACACUGGUACUGAGACACGGACCAGACUCCUACGGGAGGCAGCAGUGAGGAAUAUUGGUCAAUGGACGGGAGUCUGAACCAGCCAAGUAGCGUGCAGGACGACGGCCCUAUGGGUUGUAAACUGCUUUUAUACGGGGAUAAAGUCGCCCACGUGUGGGUGUUUGUAGGUACCGUAUGAAUAAGGACCGGCUAAUUCCGUGCCAGCAGCCGCGGUAAUACGGAGGAUCCGAGCGUUAUCCGGAUUCAUUGGGUUUAAAGGGUGCGCAGGCGGUGCCUUAAGUCAGCGGUAAAAUCGUGGGGCUCAACCCCAUCCCGCCGUUGAUACUGGGGCACUUGAUUACGGUCGAGGCAGGCGGAAUUCGUCGUGUAGCGGUGAAAUGCAUAGAUAUGACGAAGAACACCGAUUGCGUAGGCAGCCUACCAGGCCGUUAAUGACGCUCAUGCACGAAAGUGCGGGGAUCGAACA